This 498-nucleotide ribosomal RNA is filed under the name Triticum aestivum (bread wheat). RNAcentral describes it as "partial small subunit ribosomal RNA". The record is from RNAcentral. Lineage: Eukaryota; Viridiplantae; Streptophyta; Magnoliopsida; Poales; Poaceae.
UUGUUUGAGGAUAUCAGUGUUGAUGGCACUGACCAUUGGAACCCCGCAUCUGGUCUGCCUCCCCCCUCUAGUUCGGCAUUGAAAAUAGCCUUGAAUGUUGACGAAAUCACCGAUCUUGAUUUGGAGGAUGAUAGUGAAGAGCAACCUUCUCCGACAGUAGCUAGUUCAUCUAAAGUGAGGCUUGGGGUCACGAUUCCAGAGAAGAACAAGAAAUCGAAGACUUCACAAGUGAUGCAAGAGGAGAUUAGAAAGAUUAGUUCUAUUGCCCAAGCUUCACACACAUCGUUUCAGUCUUUUCUACAGAAAGAUGAGACCAUUUCUGUUGCCUCUACCAUGGAUUUAGUUCGUGCUUGUGGUGCAAUAGACGGCACUGAUGAGCAUUUCAUUGCUACUGAGCUCUUUCUGAAGAGAGAGCAAAGAGAGAUGUUCUUGCACAUGACAUCCAACUCUCGAAAGGGUUGGUUGCGUAGGAGGUUUGACCUCAAGUAUGGGAACUAG